GGGAGUGACGGGCGAGCAGUGGGGGUGCUACUCAGGGUGUCAGGGUUGUCCGCAAUCAGUUGGGGUAAAGAGCGUGUAGGCGGCUGGGUAAGGCCGCGGUGAAAUGCCAGGGCUCAACCCUGGAAUGCCGGUGGAAACUGUCAAGCUCGAGUCCGGAAGAGGCGAGUGGAAUUCCUGGUGUAGCGGUGAAAUGCGCAGAUAUCAGGAGGAACACCGAUGGCGAAGGCAGCCCCCUGGGUCAAAACUGACGCUCAUGCACGAAAGCGUGGGGAGCAAACAGGAUUAGAUACCCCUGUAGUC
This 300-nucleotide ribosomal RNA is filed under the name uncultured Slackia sp. RNAcentral's name for it is "bacterial SSU rRNA". It matches the Rfam family "Bacterial small subunit ribosomal RNA", at positions 496 to 795 of the family's 1533-position model. Lineage: Bacteria; Bacillati; Actinomycetota; Coriobacteriia; Eggerthellales; Eggerthellaceae. The record is from RNAcentral.